AACGAACGCUGGCGGCGCGUCUUACGCAUGCAAGUCGAACGGCAAGAGAGGAGCUUGCUUCUCUCCUAGAGUGGCGGACUGGUGAGGAACACGUGGGUAAUCUACCCUUAAGAUGGGGAUAGCUGCUAGAAAUAGCAGGUAAUACCGAAUACACUCGGCAUAUCACAAGAGGUGUUGAGGAAAGGAAGCUACGGCUUCGCUUGAGGAUGAGCUUGCGUCCCAUUAGCUAGUUGGUGAGGUAAAGGCCCACCAAGGCGACGAUUGGUAUCCGGCCUGAGAGGGUGAACGGACACAUUGGGACUGAGAUACGGCCCAAACUCCUACGGGAGGCAGCAGCUAAGAAUAUUCCGCAAUGGACGGAAGUCUGACGGAGCGACGCCGCGUGGAUGAAGAAGGCUGAAAAGUUGUAAAAUCCUUUUGUUGAUGAAGAAUAAGGGUGAGAGGGAAGACUCAUCUGAUGACGGUAAUCGACGAAUAAGCCCCGGCUAAUUACGU
Molecule: ribosomal RNA, 495 nt
Filed under: uncultured bacterium
Lineage: Bacteria
Description: partial 16S ribosomal RNA
Rfam family: Bacterial small subunit ribosomal RNA
Source: RNAcentral